Molecule: long non-coding RNA, 153 nt
Organism: Lynx canadensis (Canada lynx)
Lineage: Eukaryota; Metazoa; Chordata; Mammalia; Carnivora; Felidae
Exons: 4
Source: RefSeq, a predicted model, not a curated record
UUGGUUUUGGGUAUUGCCAAGGCAUACUUCAAGGAAGAAGCAACAGCCCCACCAUCAGCACCCAAAGCUGAAAUUCUUUUUAAACUAUUCCUUGCAAUACCAGAAAUCGACCCCACAACUUUCAUAAUUCAUAUAUUGCAUACUUUCAUACUG